UACGGGGGGGGUAAGCGUUGUUCGGAAUUACUGGGCAUAAAGGGCUCGUAGGCGGCCAACUAAGUCAGACGUGAAAUCCCUCAGCUUAACUGGGGAACUGCGUCUGAUACUGGAUGGCUUGGAUUCGGGAGAGGAAUGCGGAAUUCCAGGUGUAGCGGUGAAAUGCGUAGAUAUCAGGAGGAACACCGGUGGCGAAGGCGGGUCUCUGGGCAGUAACUGACGCUGAGGAGCGAAAGCGUGGGGAGCGAACAGG
RNAcentral lists this ribosomal RNA (253 nucleotides) under uncultured bacterium. RNAcentral's name for it is "partial 16S ribosomal RNA". It matches the Rfam family "Bacterial small subunit ribosomal RNA", at positions 524 to 776 of the family's 1533-position model. The record is from RNAcentral.